Molecule: non-coding RNA, 28 nt
Filed under: Homo sapiens (human)
Lineage: Eukaryota; Metazoa; Chordata; Mammalia; Primates; Hominidae
Source: RNAcentral
UCAAAGAUCAGAUGGUUGUAGAUGUGGU